CUGGCGGCGUGCCUAAUACAUGCAAGUCGAGCGCAGGAAAUCAUCCGAACCCUUCGGGGGGACGUUGAUGGAAUGAGCGGCGGACGGGUGAGUAACACGUAAAGAACCUGCCCUCAGGUCUGGGAUAACCACGAGAAAUCGGGGCUAAUACCGGAUGGGUCAUCGGACCGCAUGGUCCGAGGAUGAAAGGCGCUUCGGCGUCGCCUGGGGAUGGCUUUGCGGUGCAUUAGCUAGUUGGUGGGGUAAUGGCCCACCAAGGCGACGAUGCAUAGCCGACCUGAGAGGGUGAUCGGCCACACUGGGACUGAGACACGGCCCAGACUCCUACGGGAGGCAGCAGUAGGGAAUCUUCCACAAUGGACGAAAGUCUGAUGGAGCAACGCCGCGUGAACGAUGAAGGCCUUCGGGUCGUAAAGUUCUGUUGUAAGGGAAGAACAAGUGCCGCAGGCAAUGGCGGCACCUUGACGGUACCUUGCGAGAAAGCCACGG
This 489-nucleotide ribosomal RNA is filed under the name Exiguobacterium sp. AyD-008. RNAcentral's name for it is "bacterial SSU rRNA". It matches the Rfam family "Bacterial small subunit ribosomal RNA", at positions 36 to 496 of the family's 1533-position model. The record is from RNAcentral. Lineage: Bacteria; Bacillati; Bacillota; Bacilli; Caryophanales.